RNAcentral lists this ribosomal RNA (453 nucleotides) under uncultured bacterium. RNAcentral describes it as "bacterial SSU rRNA". It matches the Rfam family "Bacterial small subunit ribosomal RNA", at positions 340 to 786 of the family's 1533-position model. The record is from RNAcentral.
UACGGAAGGCAGCAGUGGGGAAUAUUGCACAAUGGGCGCAAGCCUGAUGCAGCCAUGCCGCGUGUAUGAAAAAGGCCUUCGGGUUGUAAAGUACUUUCAGUCGUGAGGAAGGUGUUAAGGUUAAUAACCUUAGCAAUUGACGUUAGCGACAGAAGAAGCACCGGCUAACUCCGUGCCAGCAGCCGCGGUAAUACGGAGGGUGCGAGCGUUAAUCGGAAUUACUGGGCGUAAAGGGCACGCAGGCGGUUAAUUAAGUUGGAUGUGAAAUCCCCGGGCUUAACCUGGGAAUGGCAUUCAAGACUGGUUAGCUAGAGUCUUGUAGAGGGGGUAGAAUCCCAUGUGUAGCGGUGAAAUGCGUAGAGAUGUGGAGGAAUACCGGUGGCGAAGGCGGCCCCUGGACAAAGACUGACGCUCAUGUGCGAAAGCGUGGGGAGCAAACAGGGAUUAGAUACC